AUUGAACGCUAGCGGGAUGCUUUACACAUGCAAGUCGAACGGCAGCGCGGACUUCGGUCUGGCGGCGAGUGGCGAACGGGUGAGUAAUGUAUCGGAACGUGCCCAGUAGCGGGGGAUAACUACGCGAAAGCGUAGCUAAUACCGCAUACGCCCUACGGGGGAAAGCAGGGGAUCGUAAGACCUUGCACUAUUGGAGCGGCCGAUAUCGGAUUAGCUAGUUGGUGGGGUAACGGCUUACCAAGGCGACGAUCCGUAGCUGGUUUGAGAGGACGACCAGCCACACUGGAACUGAGACACGGCCCAGACGCCUACGGGAGGCAGCAGUGGGGAAUUUUGGACAAUGGGGGCAACCCUGAUCCAGCCAUCCCGCGUGUGCGAUGAAGGCCUUCGGGUUGUAAAGCACUUUUGGCAGGAAAGAAACGUCGCGGGCUAAUACCCCGUGGAACUGACGGUACCUGCAGAAUAAGCACCGGCUAACUACGUG
RNAcentral lists this ribosomal RNA (484 nucleotides) under uncultured bacterium. RNAcentral describes it as "partial 16S ribosomal RNA". It matches the Rfam family "Bacterial small subunit ribosomal RNA", at positions 30 to 507 of the family's 1533-position model. The record is from RNAcentral.